This is a long non-coding RNA of Physeter macrocephalus (sperm whale), 432 nucleotides long. RefSeq lists it as uncharacterized. NCBI's taxonomy places the organism in Eukaryota, Metazoa, Chordata, Mammalia, Artiodactyla, Physeteridae. The transcript has 4 exons. The record is from RefSeq and is a predicted model, not a curated record.
GCUUGAGAAGAUUGAAGUAUUUUGAAGAUGGAGAUGUUUCUAAUGCAGAUAAUAACUAGAAUCAUCUGGGUAUAGAUCUCUAUCACAGAAAAAACAAGCCUGUACCCUCCAAGCUGCACUAUUACAACUGGGAGACAAGCCUUAACCAGAAGUCCCUGAAGAAAUUCUACAAAAGGUUGUUGAUUAAUCAAAGCUGGAGUUAUUUUACAGCGAUAGCACUGUGCAUGUGCAAGACAGGAGCCUGUGUCUCCAGGAUGACCUUGGAACCAAGAAUCUUCAGUCUACAGAACUCAAAGAAUAGAAAUCUUGCCACCAGAGCCCUUUACAAAUGCUGGUACCCCUGGAACAUCUUAUACCAAACUCUGUCUCAACAUCUGCUUCCAAAGAACCCAACCUUAGAGAUUAUUUAAUCUGAACUCUAUCUUUUUUAGA